AUUGAACGCUGGCGGCAUGCCUUACACAUGCAAGUCGAACGGUAACAGGUCUUCGGAUACUGACGAGUGGCGAACGGGUGAGUAAUACAUCGGAACGUGCCUAGUAGUGGGGGAUAACUACUCGAAAGAGUGGCUAAUACCGCAUGAGAUCUACGGAUGAGAGCAGGGGAUCGCAAGACCUUGUGCUACUAGAGCGGCCGAUGGCAGAUUAGGUAGUUGGUGGGAUAAAAGCUUACCAAGCCGACGAUCUGUAGCUGGUCUGAGAGGACGAUCAGCCACACUGGGACUGAGACACGGCCCAGACUCCUACGGGAGGCAGCAGUGGGGAAUUUUGGACAAUGGGCGCAAGCCUGAUCCAGCAAUGCCGCGUGCAGGAUGAAGGCCUUCGGGUUGUAAACUGCUUUUGUACGGAACGAAAAGCCCUGGGUUAAUACCCUGGGGUCAUGACGGUACCGUAAGAAUAAGCACCGGCUAACUACGUGCCAGCCGCCGCAGUAAA
Molecule: ribosomal RNA, 499 nt
Filed under: uncultured bacterium
Lineage: Bacteria
Description: partial 16S ribosomal RNA
Rfam family: Bacterial small subunit ribosomal RNA
Source: RNAcentral